RNAcentral lists this ribosomal RNA (492 nucleotides) under uncultured bacterium. Its description in RNAcentral is "partial 16S ribosomal RNA". It matches the Rfam family "Bacterial small subunit ribosomal RNA", at positions 29 to 507 of the family's 1533-position model. The record is from RNAcentral.
AGUGAACGCUGGCGGUAGGCCUAACACAUGCAAGUCGAACGGCAGCACAGUAAGAGCUUGCUCUUACGGGUGGCGAGUGGCGGACGGGUGAGGAAUACAUCGGAAUCUACUUUUUCGGGGGGGAUAACGUAGGGAAACUUACGCUAAUACCGCAUACGACCUACGGGGGAAAGCAGGGGAUCGUCGGACCUUGCGCGAUUGAAUGAGCCGAUGUCGGAUUAGCUGGUUGGCGGGGUAAAGGCCCACCAAGGCGACGAUCCGUAGCUGGUCUGAGAGGAUGGUCAGCCACCCUGGAACUGAGACACGGUCCAGACUCCUGCGGGACGCAGCAGUGGGGAAUAUUGGACAAUGGGCGCAAGCCUGAUCCAGCCAUACCGCGUGGGUGAAGAAGGCCUUCGGGUUGUAAAGCCCUUUUGUUGGGAAAGAAAAGCAGCAGGUUAAUACCCCGCUGUUCUGACGGUACCCAAAGAAUAAGCACCGGCUAACUUCGUG